RNAcentral lists this long non-coding RNA (666 nucleotides) under Coturnix japonica (Japanese quail). RNAcentral's name for it is "lncRNA (ENSCJPG00005015415.1)". Lineage: Eukaryota; Metazoa; Chordata; Aves; Galliformes; Phasianidae. The record is from RNAcentral.
GAUGAGAUUCAGGCAUUGAUUGAAAGCACAGAAGAGUAAUAUCAUCUUUGGUUUACUUCUGAGGAACGCACUAAAUAUGUACUCCAUGCUUUAACCUCAGUGGCGCCAACCAAAAAUUGUACAAAUCUACAAAGAACAGCCUGGAAAAGAAUAGCACAGGGAUCACAGGCCCAUCUAGAAGACAGUAAUACUUCGCUUUUUCCAACCUUGCUGCUGAUGCUGGUGAUACCAUCAGUGUGAAUUUCAGAUCAGCAGAUACAAUUAAUGAUGGACUGAAAAUCAGUAUCUACAUAUCAAGACCCAGGAGCAAUACAUUAUGCAUCCAGUUCGCACCAAGAGAUGUUGAAAUAAUGCCUAAGGUACUAUAAACUAGUCUGAAAGAGAAAUACAAAGCCUUGAAAUCAAGCAUGUAAAUAGAGAUUAUUGUCACUGAUACUGUUUGAUGAGUUCAAAUUGAUACAUCCUAACAUUCCUUAGAGUCCUUCUCCAAAAAUUACUGAAGAAAAUGUUAUGCAUUAGCUCUUGUUUUAUUACUGUUAAUAUGUUCUUUAAAAUCACUUCGCUUUAUUGAAAGCAGAGGAUGUAAUUGCUCCAAUGACUAAACUUGUAACUUGAUUAAAUUUUCUGGGAAAUGAAUGUGUAAACAUAAUUGAUAAGAACAAUUUA